CUGAGUUGGGGGCCGCAGAGCUGGGAUGUCCGCCCUGGGGCUGCGCCCAGCGUGGGGGGAGGGGGCGGCGCGACUCCCCCCCCUCCCCCCUUUGUCUUGGGCUGAGGAGAGGUGCUGCGCUCGGCCAGAGCAAUGAGCACAGUGCCUGGCGCGCAGCGAGUCCUCAAAGUAUCCCGGCCUUGAUUGCAACCCCAGCGCGGGGAGAAAACAGGAAAGGGAGUGAUAACUGGGCUGACAGAGGCUAACUGCCAUUAUUAAGCAUCCAGGCUGACCAGGCGCCGUCACCACCCUUUCCUUCCCGCGGUGGCAGUCUUGGCACACAGGGCGCACGUGUGUCCUAGGAUUGUGAAAGAGGCAGAGCUGGGAUGCGAACCUGGGUCGUUUGGCUCUUGCCGGCUGCGCUAGGCUGAGGAAAACGCGUUCUUGAACCAGGCUUUGAAGAUUGAGAAGGUUUGAUGGGUGGAGAUAACUGAGCGAGCUCUGCCCCAGUUCGCUGUAAGACCUUGGGAAGACGUUUGAUCUUUGAGGGCCAUACUUUCCUCCGACGUGAAAAUGGCUGGACUUAGGAAGACUAAGAACUAAUAUGUUCACCUUCUAGCAAAUUACGGGAAGGAACAUGAGAAAUAUCUCGAGCUAGCUAGCCUGACGGAAGGGCUGCACCCUGUCCACGCGUGUUGUCUGGCCUGGCACAGGACAUACGUGCUGCA
This is a long non-coding RNA of Mesoplodon densirostris (Blainville's beaked whale), 707 nucleotides long. RefSeq lists it as uncharacterized. The transcript is spliced from 3 exons. Lineage: Eukaryota; Metazoa; Chordata; Mammalia; Artiodactyla; Ziphiidae. The record is from RefSeq and is a predicted model, not a curated record.